UACGUAGGGGGCAAGCGUUGUCCGGAUUUAUUGGGCGUAAAGAGCGUGUAGGCGGCUUUACAGGUCCGUUGUGAAAACUCGAGGCUCAACCUCGAGACGCCGGUGGAAACCGUAAGGCUAGAGUCCGGAAGAGGAGAGUGGAAUUCCUGGUGUAGCGGUGAAAUGCGCAGAUAUCAGGAAGAACACCCGUGGCGAAAGCGGCUCUCUGGAACGCAACUGACGCUGAGACGCGAAAGCGUGGGGAGCAAACAGG
Molecule: ribosomal RNA, 253 nt
Filed under: uncultured bacterium
Lineage: Bacteria
Description: partial 16S ribosomal RNA
Rfam family: Bacterial small subunit ribosomal RNA
Source: RNAcentral